Molecule: ribosomal RNA, 440 nt
Filed under: uncultured bacterium
Lineage: Bacteria
Description: partial 16S ribosomal RNA
Rfam family: Bacterial small subunit ribosomal RNA
Source: RNAcentral
CCUACGGGAGGCAGCAGUGGGGAAUAUUGCACAAUGGGGGAAACCCUGAUGCAGCGACGCCGCGUGAGUGAUGGAGUAUUUCGGUAUGUAAAGCUCUAUCAGCAGGGAAGAAAAUGACGGUACCUGACUAAGAAGCCCCGGCUAACUACGGGCCAGCAGCCGCGGGAAUACGUAGGGGGCAAGCGUUAUCCGGAUUUACUGGGUGGAAAGGGAGCGUAGGCGGCUGUGCAAGCCAGAUGUGAAAGCCCGGGGCUCAACCCCGGGACUGCAUUUGGAACUGGGUGGCUGGAGUGUCGGAGAGGUAGGCGGAAUUCCUAGUGUAGCGGUGAAAUGCGUAGAUAUUAGGAGGAACACCAGUGGCGAAGGCGGCCUGCUGGACGAUGACUGACGUUGAGGCUCGAAAGCGUGGGGAGCAAACAGGAUUAGAUACCCCUGUAGUC